Molecule: long non-coding RNA, 807 nt
Organism: Lycium barbarum (goji berry)
Lineage: Eukaryota; Viridiplantae; Streptophyta; Magnoliopsida; Solanales; Solanaceae
Exons: 3
Source: RefSeq, a predicted model, not a curated record
UUCAUUUGGUUAAAUACACUCUAUUAGAGAGCAUGAACGAAAUUUUUCUAAUUACAUUUUAGGGCAAAGGGUCAAAUAUAUUCCCUCUACUUUACUUUAUUGGUUAAAUAUAUCCUCCGUUAACCAAAGUACCUAAACAUACCCCUUUGUUAGCCAAAAUUGUUAAAUAUACCCUACAUGGAUGGAAAUGCCCAAAUCAAAUGAAAUUAACCAUUUAACUUUAAAAAAACCGUGCUCCAUAAUUUUAACCCGACCCGCCCACAAAUUCAAGAAUGUUGUUUCAAUCGAGAAUUCAAUCAAAAUUACCCUGACCAAUGCUCUUAGCUUACCUUCACCGUAAAUCCAUUCUCCAAAACCUCAACUCUCGCAGUGCUACUGCAACUUCACAUGAAGAAUCAGAACUUGCUCGAAAGAUUGUACAUAAGUGGGAUGAAGGUGCAGAUAUCGGUGAUCCUCCGCAGUAGGCUUCACUUCUUGCUAUUCCGGAGUUCUCCUAUUUGAUCCGGAGUCCACUUUUGGUACAGACUCUUUUUGCUUUGUAUAUAUAUUUGGUAUAUUUGACUAUUUGGGUACGGCGGGGCCCUGUCUCGCCAUAUGUCUUUGUUUUGAGUUCGUAGAGGCCUGUAGUCAUAUAUGUGGGGCGAGGGUCCUAUGUAUGUUGGUCUGAUUCCGUUUUCUGGUCUUAAGGCGGUCUGUUUGUUAUGCCGGCCCAAAUGGCCCUUAUGCUUAUAUUUGCACUUUUGACCGGCGAUGUCCAUUCCGCCGCUCAGUUUGUAUUUGACAUGAUAUUUUGAUUUGGCACGACCG